Molecule: long non-coding RNA, 183 nt
Organism: Sinocyclocheilus grahami
Lineage: Eukaryota; Metazoa; Chordata; Actinopteri; Cypriniformes; Cyprinidae
Exons: 3
Source: RefSeq, a predicted model, not a curated record
GCUCCUUCUGUUCCACGAGCGCGAGACGAGCAGCAGCGAUUCAUCCAACGCCAGCUAAAGCGCUUAAAAACGUUCAGCUACAUACAUCGCUUUUCGUGUUCGCUGAAGAAAAUGCGCAACAGAAGCCAUAGGAGUUCUUCUUCGAAUCAGUCCAGUUCUUCUGAACAGCAGCCGGACCAAACC